GAAGGUUCAGUCGGUGAGGGGGAACACCAAGGUUUUGAUACAAAGUAUGGAAACAAGGGCUGAUGAGAUGGAAGCACUCCUGGAAGCCUGACAAGCUCCACACAGUCCUACAGCGUUCCACCAUGUAAAAUCAGGCCUUCAUUUUGAACUUGGAAAUCUCCUCACUUGCAGGCAGUGGCAAUGCCAGCAAGCCACAGAAUGAAGGUAGAUGCCUUGACUCAGAGUUGGUGGCUGUUUUGAAAGCUGGCCUUGCUUUGGACCAUUGAUGGGACUGUCUUCUUCAGCAAACAGUGAUCAUGAAACCAAAUUCAGCUUUCUUCAGGAAAAGGACAAAAACUGGGGUAUACCACUGGAUCUACUAUGGAAAAGUGUUUGAGUGAUGCCCACCUAAUAUAGAAGAACUUGUCAUAGCUCUGAUGCAGCGACAAUUGACCACUUGCUUUUACAUAAACACUAGGAAGAAAGGCAUGGCAUCAAGUGUUUUGAGAGCUGAAUUACAUCAAUAUUUCCUUUUCAGAAAAUCUAAAAUUAUUUCAAUGCACAAAAGCUAGGAUGGUGCCUGGUCCAUGGUGGACAGUAACUGGUCUGUUUUGAAUGCAUGAAUUUUCAUCGUAGUUUUUGUGAUUGUGUUUAUGAAGACACUGGAGCAACAAUGUUCUGCAAUUCUAGAGAUCUUGAUGUGGUGGCAGCCUUGUAUCCAGUCUUAUGUGAGCUUCCUGCAGGGCAACUUUGGCAUAUUCUCAGCAAACAUAGAGUUGUUGGAUUUCACAUAAGGAGACUGUUAUCAUUUGGUCCUUGACAACUUUCAUAAACAGUCACUCUUAGCUUAACAAGCAAAUGUGUAACAGUUAAAAUUGGAAGAAAAAUAAGGCCAAAAUGGCAGCUUACUACACAACUUGCAUGCAUUCUAAAAUAAAGGAAAUAUGAAUAAAAGUUUUUCUUAUGUGUCUGAUGCUUAAGGACAAUGUUUGGUCAAAAAACUGAGGUCUCAUGACAGACAACUCAAAUGACAAAAAGAAAAUAAGGAUGUGUCUCAUUGCAAAGCCUGAAUCACUCUCACAUUUGAAGACCUUGAACACAAACGCUUUAUUUCUGGACCUUAAUAUGUUUCACUUGCUAUGCCUGCAUAACAGUGGUAGUUACCUGAUAUAAGUGAUUAAAAUCCUUCCUGUUUAGAAAGAAGAAGAAUAUUUAGCGACAGGACAUCAGCAUGCAAAGAGUUAACUAGUUAAACUUCUACAAACCCCCAGAGUAACUUUCCAAAAGCUGACAAUAAGUAAAAGAAGUGCUGGUUAUCCAUUUUUUAAAGGGAUGGGAUUGGUUUUAGAAGAAAGGGAAAGAGGAUCAAACACCUCAAUGCAACAAAAGGUUGUGUCAGAGGGCCCUCAAUCACAAACCUCCUUCAACAACAGAUAUUCCAACCUUCCAGAGCAGUUACCCAGGCAGCACAGCUAAAAAGUUCCAUGACAUGAAAAGAACAAAAACCUAAGGGACAGAGGUAGUUAUUGUCAUGCACACUCUUCUCUCUCUCUCUCUUUCUUUUUUUUUUUUUUUGGCUUGGGUUUUUCCCUCCCCCACAAAACUUUUGCAUAAGCUGUUAGAGAAAAGUAAUGGUGUGGCUUUCUAAAAAGAAAUCCCCUAUUUGUAAGCCACCUCCUAGGUAGUGAGGUAGCCCAGUGGACUUUCUGUAAGAAACACCUGGUAAGUGGAGAGAUCAUUUACACGAAUAUUUCAAAAGAGACAUCUAAAAUUAAUAAGCACAAUUACAGCCCUGUAAAUGUGGUCAACAUUCCCUUGAAAUCACUUGUGUUUUUUUUUUUAAUUGAUGUUAUUUUCUUUUCAGACAAAUUUUUUUCAGUGCACAGCGGAUAUAUGUUAUUUGCAUUUUCUGUGUUGAGUCUUAGAGGUAUCUUAACAGCUUGUAUGAAUUUUCCACCAAAACGUAAAUUAUUAACAAGUCAGAGUUUUCAUUUGUUUUAUCUCCUGAUGUGAGAUCUAAAUAAGUAUGUAGAACACUUAAAAUUCUUGCCAUUUCUCUGCUUUCUGAAAAAUAAAUCUCAUGCAUACUGCACAAUAUAUUUUCUCAUGCAUAACAUGUUUCCAUUUAAUGGGAAAAAACUAAUUUCAGGAGGAAUACUGUAUGUUUCCUGGACACUUAGUUUUAUAAGCAGAGUAUUAACCCAAAGAAGCAUUUGGUCAUGUUUUCUUCAUCAUCAUCAUCAUCAUCAUCAUCAUAUCAUCAUCAUUCUUAUCAUAAUGUUCUUUAUAAUCAUCCUCAAAAAGCAUUUAAAGUCUUCAUCAUUACCUGGUUUGAUAUUAGGUAUCUUCGAUUAACUUUGCCCUGAUUUCUAAGACAUAAACUACUGUUAGAACCAGAUUUUUAAAACCCAGUUAUGUGGUCCUCAAAAUUUACAUGCAAGGAUAAUAUGGCAUACAGCAUGAUGGUGAUUGAAGCGGGGUGUGAUUGGGGAGUCCUAUGAGAUAUGAUAAUAAUACUAGUAGCAAACAUGUUAACAGUGCUUACUGUGUGCCAGCAGCGCUCUAAAUAAAUGAUCUUAUUACUCGUCACAACAAUCCAUUUUACAGAUGAGGAAGCUGAGGUGCAGUGCUGUCAGGUAACUGCCCAAUGUCAUAGGUAGCAAGUGGUGGAAAUGGAAAUUUUGAACCUGGGCGUGCUCACAAAGAGGACACUUUGCUACAUCAGAAAGGAAGCACGGAUGGACUACCGAAAGAAAGUGUCAGAAUCUGCCCUUGAGUGGUGUGUACCAGGAACAUGUAUACCAUGAGAAGAAUUUCUGAAGAAGUGUGAGAAUGAUAAAAAAAGAAGUACCAGAAGAGCUUACCUCCAAAAAGAAAGAAAAAAGAUUGGAACAAUUAGGAGGUAGCUGGAUGAAGAGGUGACAUGUAUGAAGUGAACAUUAGAAGCCAGUCCAGAGAGCAGCUGGCAGUCUCAAUGGAGCUCAGAGAGAAUGAAUGGACCAAAAACAUAGACAAGAGAAAAAAAAAUUUGUCAGUGUUAUUAAAUAAAGUAAGCUGGAAUUUG
Molecule: long non-coding RNA, 3043 nt
Organism: Pan troglodytes (chimpanzee)
Lineage: Eukaryota; Metazoa; Chordata; Mammalia; Primates; Hominidae
Exons: 9
Source: RefSeq, a predicted model, not a curated record